Molecule: long non-coding RNA, 653 nt
Organism: Camellia sinensis
Lineage: Eukaryota; Viridiplantae; Streptophyta; Magnoliopsida; Ericales; Theaceae
Source: RefSeq, a predicted model, not a curated record
UGUUUUCUAAUUUGUGAUGUUUUCUUUUCCUUGGUCUAGAUUAACAUUUUUCCCACUGGCUGGUCGAGUUGGACCUUUAAGGCCCGAUCAUUCCAUACAAUACGAGCAGCCUCAUGUUCUCAGUCUACUACCUCCUCUAGGGAUGUUCAGGCAAAGAGAAUGAUCAAACCAAGAAAGCUAUAUCUGGAAAAUAUUUUGUCAUGCCAGCAAUGCGCCUCCGUUGCGAUUGCUAUUAAGAUGGGGAUAAGGCGUUUAUGAUUUGAUUAUGUACUCUAUUUGAGCAUCUGCACUACUGCACUUCCUCUCUGGGAUGAGGUGGUUGGCUCAACCACUGCUGCUGAAGUAGGUGAUGGGGAUGAAGUGAUGCAACCCAUCACAACUAAUGCUGCUAUUGGCUGAAAAAUGAACCCCUAUUCUUAACUCUGCAUCCUCCUUUAGAUAUUUUGUAAAGAAUUCACAUCAGCCAUUUUAUUUCUUUGGCGGGUUAUAACCUUUGCACCCUCAAUAUUUGUGGUUGUUUUGCUUUUAACUUUUGUAUCUUCAAGUGUUUGUUCUAAGAUCUUAAGCUUUGUAUCUUGAAAUCUUGUUAUAAGAUCUUGUGAUUGUUCUGGGCCUUAUUUUGUUAGGGUAUGAUUGACUCUAUUUGGAGUAGA